GGGCGCCGCCCGCACCGCCCCGGCUGCGCCACCGCCCCGGACUGUGCCGGCGCAGGAGGCCGCCCUCCUCGGCGCCCCCAGGUGGGGCAGGUCGAGCCCGGUGCGCUAUCCCUUUAAGCCCGGGCGAGAUGGGAGCUGUCAGCGACAGCCGAGGCUAGCGCGGGACGUAGCCGCCCGCCAGGCCGCAGCGGGGAGCGAGGAGCAAGCGGAGAGCCGAGGGGGCGGUGGGGCCCGGGCUCGGCGGGUCCCCUCGCCGCCCACAGUGCGUCCGCACCUCGGGCCCGGCGAGUGGCGGGCGGCACCCCAUGUAAUGCGGAGAAUGUGAGGGCAGCGCAGGGCGGUGGGGAGGAGGCGCGGGAGAGGGCGUCGGCAAGAUAGAGAGGCAGCCGGAGAGACUGAGGACAGGGAUCGGGGCGGCUGCAGGUGGGAGAAAGGAGAGAAGAUAAAAGGAUAGGCAGUGACAGAAAAGGGGGAAAGAAAGGAGCGGGAGAGCACGCGGCUGCAGGCGGCGGAGCAGGCGAGGAGGAGGGAGCCAGCGCCUCUGGGUGGGAGCGCCGGAAGCCGGAGUCGGGCUCCCCGGCCGGGGGUCAGGCUUAGAGCACGGCCGCGGCCCGGCAGGGCAGGGUGAAGGAGCAGGGACGCCCGAGGGGGCCCCUCUGGGAGCACCGGAGGACCUAAGGCGGGGCCAGUCCGGUAGGACCGCAGGGCCACUCCUCAGGCCCCGCUCCGGGGGCUCCGGCAGGCCGGGGCCAGGGGCCUUUGUGAGCGCCCCAAGAGGGCGAGAGUCGGGAGUGCGGAGCCGGGUGUGCGGUGGCGGGGGGGUGUGCGCGCCCGGGUGUGCGCGAGUGUGAGCGCCCAGGAGGGUGGGAGCGCGCGUUAGGGAUUCUGCUGGCAUCGCAGAGUGGAGAGCAGGAGGCAGGAGCGGGGCGCGCGGGGGAGCUUGGGGCCCUCCCGUGCACACGCACACACACCGCGCGCGCUCACACACACAUACACAGACACACACACGCGCACACGCCCUCCCUGCCUCGCUCGUUGCCGCGGCCACCAUCUCAGAGCCGAGCCCUGCGGAGCGGGAACCCAAGCCGGAGCGGGAACAGGAGGGAAACGGAGCCGGGGAAUGCGGCCCCGGAGAGGAGCUGCGCGCAGACUGCGCGCCCGAAACGCCUCCUGCUCCCACAGGCCCUGAGGCUCCUGUGCCCACAGGCAAAGAGAGAGACCGAGUCAAACCAGGCUGAUCCCCCAGCAGCUGCACUCCCCAAACGCCUGCCCGACCUGAGGUCAAACACGUUGGGUCAUCUCAUUGCCAAGUCCAGUUUUCAGAUGAGGAAACUGAGGGGCUCUUAUCUCACUUCAGUCCCUGAACUGCACACUGCCUCCCUCUAGACCCCCGGCGUCGACACUGAGAGGAGACAGCAAGAACAGGAGUGAUACUUCAUAGGAAGGUGGCAGGAAAACUCUGGGAGCCGGGCAUCAUCUCCUGCUGACGCCUGGGGCGUGUGUGUACGCGAGCACGCGCAUG
This is a long non-coding RNA of Lagenorhynchus albirostris (white-beaked dolphin), 1522 nucleotides long. RefSeq lists it as uncharacterized. The record is from RefSeq and is a predicted model, not a curated record. Lineage: Eukaryota; Metazoa; Chordata; Mammalia; Artiodactyla; Delphinidae. The transcript is spliced from 3 exons.